GCGCCUGUAGCUCAGCGGAGAGAGCGGCUCCCUAACGAAGAGUCAGGUCGAGGGUUCGAAUCCCUCCAGGCGCA
This 74-nucleotide transfer RNA is filed under the name mine drainage metagenome. Its description in RNAcentral is "tRNA-Val". It matches the Rfam family "tRNA". Rfam says of the family: Transfer RNA (tRNA) molecules are approximately 80 nucleotides in length. Their secondary structure includes four short double-helical elements and three loops (D, anti-codon, and T loops). Further hydrogen bonds mediate the characteristic L-shaped molecular structure. tRNAs have two regions of fundamental functional importance: the anti-codon, which is responsible for specific mRNA codon recognition, and the 3' end, to which the tRNAs corresponding amino acid is attached (by aminoacyl-tRNA synthetases). tRNAs cope with the degeneracy of the genetic code in two manners: having more than one tRNA (with a specific anti-codon) for a particular amino acid; and 'wobble' base-pairing, i.e. permitting non-standard base-pairing at the 3rd anti-codon position. The record is from RNAcentral.